CCCCGACCUCGGCUAAAGGAAGACUUCGUCCGGACUCUUACUGGGGUCGGACUUCAGGCUCCUCUCAAGUGGAUAACUAACCACCAGACACUCCAGUCGAACUUUGGCCGAUGGGUCUGCACUCCCUGACGCGACACAGCAAUAGCCACGAUCCUGCUCCACUUCCUGCGAUGGAUUCCGCACGGCUCCAUUAUUCCCUGGCAGACCGCUAUGAUGGCCACGAUCCUGCUCCACUUCCUGCAACGGAUUCCGCAUGGCUCCACUAUUCCCUGGC
RNAcentral lists this long non-coding RNA (274 nucleotides) under Elaeis guineensis (African oil palm). Its description in RNAcentral is "long non-coding RNA (EGUI_LNC068689)". Lineage: Eukaryota; Viridiplantae; Streptophyta; Magnoliopsida; Arecales; Arecaceae. The record is from RNAcentral.